RNAcentral lists this long non-coding RNA (1665 nucleotides) under Helianthus annuus (common sunflower). RNAcentral describes it as "hypothetical non coding rna". The record is from RNAcentral. Lineage: Eukaryota; Viridiplantae; Streptophyta; Magnoliopsida; Asterales; Asteraceae.
UUGGCUAUCUGAAAUGGAGCUGGGUGUGUGACAUGAUGAAGGAAUUUCUGGAUAUUGUUCUGGCUCGGGUUUGGUCCUGGCAAUGGGAGCCUUAAUAGAACCACAUGGAUGGUAGCAACAACCCGUUCAACUCUCUAAGGCAAGUCAUUUAACUUUGACCUAAGUUUCAUAUUAGCAAUGGGGAAAGAAAGAGGGAAGAUGGUGAACCUAUAACCUCCAUUGGCUUAGCAUUAACGGGGUAGGCUUGAAAUAUGCGUUAAACAGGUUUGGUUAGUUGUGUUGUCCACCGGUAACUUUUAGUUCUUUUUCUCUGAAUAUAUAGUUAUUUAAAUUUAUUAAGUGAGUGGAAACUUUAAUAUUAACAAAUAUUUUAUGUUUUCAGUAAUAUUAACAUAUUGUAAGGAAUUUAAAAGCACAUUAUAAGAAAUUUUAAUACUUUGUGGGUUACCUUUCAGCAAACCAUAUAUUAGUUAAUUUUUUAAAUAGGGCAAAUGACAUAGAACAGCAACAUACUUUCGUUAUUUGCUAUUUAGUUACACUCCGGUGUGGUACUAGAAAUUAGAGGCUGCAAAAUGGUCGAAACAGGCUAGGUUGGGUAACGGGUCAAAAGGUAAUUUUCUGUUAUUGGUCGAAACAGGUCAAGUCAGAUUGAUCUGUAAUUUUAUAGUUUACUAUAAAUGCAUAGCGUGUAAUGUAAUGUAACUACUAGGUAAGUAUUCUAUUAUUUUAACAAUAAAAUUAAUUACAUGAACUAAACUAUUCUUGUGGUUUUGUGGAUUAACAUACACUUUGGGUGACUUUCGAGUCAUUUUAUUUUUAGCUAAUAUUUUUGUUUUAUCUAUUCAAUCUAUUAAAGAUAAAACUUUACUCAAAUUGACCCAUUUCAAAGUAAACUGUUUGAAGUUGCCACCUUUACCAGAAUUUGACGAAGCUAGAUUUUUGGUUUAUAUUAUAUCAUAGGUAUCAGUUAAAGAUAAUUCUUCACCCGGAAGGGCGUAACUGGUGGGUUGUUGAUUCAAGAAGGGAGAUUGUGGGGCUUACAUAGAAUUUGGUGAGUCGGAUACGGUGGGAGCGAUUCGUAAAAUAUGAUAUACGGUGGGAGCGGUUUGUAAAAUAUAAUAGAUGGUUGGAGUGGUUCGUAUUUAGUUUAGAUUGUGAUGUGGCGUUUAGAUUCUGAUGCAACUUUGUUUGGAUUGGUUUUAUGUUGCUAUUUGUAUUAUUAAUGAAUCGAUGCCUUCCUAUGAAACGUUGUGAUGUUGCAUUAAAGGCAAUCUAAGUUACUUUUUGUAUUAUAUUUAGUAAUGUGUUUGGUUUCAUGAAUACACUGAUAACUUCACCUGCAGAAAGUUCAAGAAAUUGAAGAAUUUAUCAUGUAGAAAGUUCGAGUUUUUGAAGAAUGUCUCAAGAAUCUGUGGGACCCGCCGACCUUAGCACUCGAAACACAUGACAUGGUGGAUCAAUACUUUUCUCCACUCGAGCCUGAACGAUGCCACAAGAGGCGUUUACAUAACCAAUGAUUCAUAUAUAAAACUGAUUAUUUAUUUCGAAACCUCAUAAUUUUUCCCAACAAAAGUUCUAAUCAUCUGAACAAUCUAUGCAAAUGUUCUCUACAUGUAUUUUUUUUCGAAAAUUCAUUGACUAAAUAAAAUCUAGCAUUCGUUUUGG